UUGCCUCAGUAACGGCGAGUGAAGCGGCAAUAGCUCAAAUUUGAAAUCUGGCUCUUUCAGGGUCCGAGUUGUAAUUUGUAGAGGAUGCUUCGGCUUACGCCCCGGUCUAAGUUCCUUGGAACAGGACGUCACAGAGGGUGAGAAUCCCGUAUGUGGCCGGCGGCUUCCGCCAUGUGAAGCUCCUUCGACGAGUCGAGUUGUUUGGGAAUGCAGCUCUAAAUGGGAGGUAAAUUUCUUCUAAAGCUAAAUACCGGCCAGAGACCGAUAGCGCACAAGUAGAGUGAUCGAAAGAUGAAAAGCACUUUGGAAAGAGAGUUAAAAAGUACGUGAAAUUGUUGAAAGGGAAGCGCUUGCGACCAGACUUGCCCGCAGUUGUUCCAUUGGUCCUCCGGCCUUUGUAUUCUUCUGCGGUCAGGCCAGCAUCAGUUCGGGCGGUCGGAUAAAGGCCUUGGGAAUGUAGCUCUCUUCGGGGAGUGUUAUAGCCCUCGGUGCAAUACGGCCCGCCUGGACUGAGGACCGCGCUUCGGCUAGGAUGCUGGCGUAAUGGUCGUAAGCGGCCCGUCUUGAAACACGGACCAAGGAGUCUAACAUCUAUGCGAGUGUUUGGGUGUCAAACCCGUGCGCGAAAUGAAAGUGAACGGAGGUGGGAACCUUAGGGUGCACCAUCGACCGAUCCUGAUGUCUUCGGAUGGAUUUGAGUAAGAGCAUAGCUGUUGGGACCCGAAAGAUGGUGAACUAUGCCUGAAUAGGGUGAAGCCAGAGGAAACUCUGGUGGAGGCUCGCAGCGGUUCUGACGUGCAAAUCGAUCGUCAAAUUUGGGUAUAGGGGCGAAAGACUAAUCGAACCAUCUAGUA
This 854-nucleotide ribosomal RNA is filed under the name Neotubeufia krabiensis. RNAcentral describes it as "eukaryotic LSU rRNA". It matches the Rfam family "Eukaryotic large subunit ribosomal RNA", at positions 75 to 949 of the family's 3401-position model. The record is from RNAcentral. Lineage: Eukaryota; Fungi; Ascomycota; Dothideomycetes; Tubeufiales; Tubeufiaceae.